CCUACGGGAGGCAGCAGUAGGGAAUAUUGCUCAAUGGGGGAAACCCUGAAGCAGCAACGCCGCGUGGAUGAUGAAGGUUUUCGGAUUGUAAACUCCUUUUGUUAGAGAAGAUAAUGACGGUAUCUAACCAAUAAGCCCCGGCUACCUCCGUGCCAGCAGCCGCGGUAAUACGGAGGGUGCAAGCGUUACUCGGAAUCACUGGGCGUAAAGGGCGCGUAGGCGGGAUAGCAAGUCAGAAGUGAAAUCCCAUGGCUUAACCAUAGAACUGCAUUUGAAACUGUUAGUCUGGAGUGUGGGAGGGGUAGGUGGAAUUCUUGGUGUAGGGGUAAAAUCCGUAGAGAUCAAGAGGAAUACUCAUGGCGAAGGCGACCUGCUAGAACAUAACUGACGCUGAUGCGCGAAAGCGUGGGGAGCAAACAGGAUUAGAUACCCCGGUAGUC
Molecule: ribosomal RNA, 440 nt
Filed under: uncultured bacterium
Lineage: Bacteria
Description: partial 16S ribosomal RNA
Rfam family: Bacterial small subunit ribosomal RNA
Source: RNAcentral